AGCAACUACGGCUCUCGGGGAGGCUGCUCAGACCGCCGAGUCCACAGCAGCUACAACCGUGGUGUUCUUGAUUUUAUUCUGCAGAGUGAGCUCUCCACGUUUGCUUUCUGGAGGACCCAGGUGACCGCUCACCUCCCCUUCCUCCUGGAGCCCUGAAGUCGGAGGCCCUGAGCCAUGGACGGUAUCUGAGGAUCGGUUUAGCGUAUCUGGCCGGAGAAAUUGGCAACAUUUGCUACGAAUAAAACCCAAGCGUUUCCAGCAGCCAUUUUGAAUUAAGUUUCCCACCCGACAAGCCCUCGUCCCCUCCACUGCACAUCCAGGAUCCGGUGGAGGAGAAAGGCGCCGGGCGGAGAGUU
RNAcentral lists this long non-coding RNA (356 nucleotides) under Homo sapiens (human). RNAcentral describes it as "non-protein coding MEIS1-AS2:2". Lineage: Eukaryota; Metazoa; Chordata; Mammalia; Primates; Hominidae. The record is from RNAcentral.